Molecule: ribosomal RNA, 495 nt
Filed under: Enterobacter hormaechei subsp. xiangfangensis
Lineage: Bacteria; Pseudomonadati; Pseudomonadota; Gammaproteobacteria; Enterobacterales; Enterobacteriaceae
Description: partial 23S ribosomal RNA
Rfam family: Bacterial large subunit ribosomal RNA
Source: RNAcentral
AUCGUACCCCAAACCGACACAGGUGGUCAGGUAGAGAAUACCAAGGCGCUUGAGAGAACUCGGGUGAAGGAACUAGGCAAAAUGGUGCCGUAACUUCGGGAGAAGGCACGCUGAUAGGUAGGUGAAGUCCCUGCGGACGGAGCUGAAAUCAGUCGAAGAUACCAGCUGGCUGCAACUGUUUAUUAAAAACACAGCACUGUGCAAACACGAAAGUGGACGUAUACGGUGUGACGCCUGCCCGGUGGGAUGAUAACGGCCAGCAUGGCGUCCAGAACGUCCAAUGCAUCAUCCAGCGCCAGCGUUUCCCAUGCAAGGACAAAGGCAACCAGAACCGCCAUCCUUUUCUGCGGUGACAUCCUGGCAAUAUUGAAGGCACUGUUGCAAAGUUAGCGAUGAGGCAGCCUUUUGUCUUAUUCAAAGGCCUUACAUUUCAAAAACUCUGCUUACCAGGCGCAUUUCGCCCAGGGGAUCACCAUAAUAAAAUGCUGAGGCCUG